GCUGGUUUGAUCUAGUGGUGAAGACACCAGGCUAGAAACCAGGAGACUGUGAGUUCUAGUCUUAUUUUAGGCA
This 73-nucleotide transfer RNA is filed under the name Ophiophagus hannah (king cobra). It matches the Rfam family "tRNA". Rfam says of the family: Transfer RNA (tRNA) molecules are approximately 80 nucleotides in length. Their secondary structure includes four short double-helical elements and three loops (D, anti-codon, and T loops). Lineage: Eukaryota; Metazoa; Chordata; Lepidosauria; Squamata; Elapidae. The record is from Rfam by way of RNAcentral.